GGAUGUAAUUCGCACAGAACCUAUAAUAGUGCGAUUGCACUGUUCACUUACACAGUACUUAAAUGGUCCAGUGCCAACUGUGGAUGUAUUUCAGAUCUCUACUAAGGAAAGAUUUGGGCUGGGACAUCAGCUAAAAAAAAUCAUGCAGACAUUUGUUACACAACAGUGGAAGAACAGCAAAGAGAAAUCUAAUUGUAC
Long non-coding RNA from Empidonax traillii (willow flycatcher), 198 nucleotides. RefSeq lists it as uncharacterized. The record is from RefSeq and is a predicted model, not a curated record. The transcript is spliced from 3 exons. Lineage: Eukaryota; Metazoa; Chordata; Aves; Passeriformes; Tyrannidae.